Molecule: ribosomal RNA, 460 nt
Filed under: uncultured bacterium
Lineage: Bacteria
Description: partial 16S ribosomal RNA
Rfam family: Bacterial small subunit ribosomal RNA
Source: RNAcentral
CCUACGGGAGGCAGCAGUGAGGAAUCUUGGUCAAUGGCCGUAAGGCUGAACCAGCCAAGUAGCGUGAGGGAAGACUGCCCUAUGGGUUGUAAACCUCUUUUAUGCGGGGAUAAAGGUGUACACGUGUGGAUGUUUGCAGGUACCGCAUGAAUAAGGACCGGCAAAUUCCGUGACAGCAGCCGCGGUAAUAAGGCAGGUUCGGGCGUUAUCCGGAUUUGUUGGGGUUAAAGGGAGCGUAGGCCGGCCUUUAAGCGGGCCGGGAAAUUUUGUGGCUCAACCAUGGGAGUGCGGCGCGAACUGGAGACCUUGAGUGCGCGGAAGGCAGGCGGAAUGCGUGGUGUAGCAGUGAAAUGCUUAGAUAUCGCGAAGAACCACGAUUGCGAAGGCAGCCUGCCGCAGCGUUACUGACGCUGAAGCUCGAAAGCGCGGGUAUCGAACAGGAUUAGAUACCCCAGUAGUC